This is an RNA transcript of Macadamia integrifolia, 2155 nucleotides long. It is a transcript of the gene named oil body-associated protein 1A-like, with no coding region annotated. NCBI's taxonomy places the organism in Eukaryota, Viridiplantae, Streptophyta, Magnoliopsida, Proteales, Proteaceae. The record is from RefSeq and is a predicted model, not a curated record. The transcript is spliced from 4 exons.
CUUGAGCACUUGAGCACUUGAGCUUUAAGAAGAAAGGGAUCCAGAGAGAGGGAAACAUAGAUCUGUGGCUAGCUAGACAAAAGAGAAAAUGGCAACACCACCGGUGAGCAUUCCAGGCGAACCAACCCAGACAGGCACGGCUUUGACAGACACGGCAGCGAGCGCCAUUCAAUCCUUCGCUCCCAUCAACAAAGUCCAUCAACACCUCUGCGCGUUCCAUUUCUACAGCCACGAUAUGACCCGACAAGUGGAGGCGCACCACUUCUGCUCGUGCCAGAACGAGGAGAUGAGGCAGUGCCUGAUAUACGACAGCCCAGACUCGAACGCACGGCUGAUCGGUGUAGAGUACCUCAUAACGGAGAACCUCUUCCUGAUUCUGCCCGAUGCCGAGAAGCCGCUUUGGCAUUCCCACGAAUACGAGGUGACGAGUGGGUUUUUGUUCCUGCCUGGGCUGCCCGGAUCCGUGCAGAGGCAGGAUCUUGAUAAGGUGUGCAAGACCUACGGUAAGACCUUCCACUUCUGGCAGAUCGAUAGAGGUGAUGAGCUCCCUCUCGGCUUGCCUCAGCUCAUGAUGGCCCUCACUAGGGAUGGUCAGCUCGACACCGCCCUCGCCCAAGAUGUAGAGAAGAGAUUCGAGGUAAGCUAUGAGAAGGAGAGGGAGAAUAGGGCAUACAUGACAGGGCCGGCGCAUGGAAUACAUCCUUUGGCAAAUGGAGAGGGAAAGGGGCUGAAGACAGAGCUUAGAGAGAGAGAUUGCAAGCCAGUGGACUAAAAUAUUGCAACCCACCCACCUAUGCAGUCAAUAAGGUAGAAUUCAAAGGAAGUCAAGAAAUAAGCCUCGAUUUUUUUUUGGGUCACAAGGACCCACAGAGGGGGAAAAUAACUUACCGUCAUCCUGCAGCCACAAGGCCGCAGGUUGACCUGGAGCUUCGGCUGCUAGCUAGUAAAAAAAAGUUUCUCUAUUGUAUUUUAGACUUGGACUCGUGGAUGGAGCCAAGUCAUACAAGAGUGAUGGAGCCUUUGAAUUUGUAGGAAUAUUGCUCUGGAAGAGACCAACCUCGUAUUAAUAACUUUAGGCCUCCUAACCCGUCAAUGAAGAGAAUCUAUCAGAGAAAAUGCGCACAAUAUAACUCAAUGACCAAAGAUAGAGAUUUCCCUUAUAUUGAUUUCCUUUGAUAAAUUCAAGAUAUAAAGCAAUCUUCACAUUUCAUAUUCUAAAGUUUUUUAUUAUAUAAUUUUUUUUACAAAGAAUUCGAUGUAAGAAUGAGUGCAAGUUAUGUUAGGGUGUACCGUCAGGGGACCCAAUGAUUGAAGGUGAUUUUGAUAUCAGAGGACUGGAGGCGGCAAGAGAAGCUUCUAAUUUUGGAGGUCCAGCUUGGAAAUGAUUGCUGGAUCUCUGGUCAUUUUUUGUUAGACGAAUCACAUCUGGUUCCUAUGCGAUGUUCUGAGGCUGUUUCGACAACGACUAUGUUGGGAGAAGGUACUUACGAGGUUGCACAGGUAGCGGUUGGUAAGGUUGUGGGGAGAACCUUCGCCUAUGUGGUUGGGACUUGGGAGGCCCUUUCUCCCAUCUGUGGAUAGUCUUCCAUUGCGGUUAACGAUCGAUGUCUGAUGCGUAUAUAAGAUCUCGCAAGUGGCAUUUGACAGAUAAAUGGGAAGCAUCUUUUUGCUUUAUUAGGUUGUGUUGAUUUUCGUUCAAUAUCUAUGAAUAUCUUAUGGGAUAUGUUCACGAUAACUGGGAUUUGGUAGAACCUUGUGACAUUUGUUCACUUGGUAAAGGAUUUAUUUUUCUCUAAUUCAAAUUUGAGUCUGAUAUGGCUUCGAAUAGGAAGUUUGGUCUAGUGCGAGUUGUGUAUCGUAGUUCCAAAGUGUUGAGAUCAAUCCCUAUGGUUUCUUGAGUGUGGAAGAACUAUUAUUUGGAGGAGGAACUUCGAUUACGAUUCUAAGGUGAACUGUUGUGUCCCUUGUAAUUAAGUUUUGUACAUUGAUUUCAAACGCAAGAGAUCUCAAUCCGAUCCCUUCCAUUGCAGCUGAUGGGCAACUUUUCGCAACAAAUACAAGAUAGAGAACUUCCAUGAUACACUGACUGUAUCUUCUUUUGCAACUGAACCUAUAGAAGGUUUGAAUUGGGAUUGCGGGUGUGCCAGAGACGUCA